GCGGGGAUAGCCAAGUGGCCAACGGCGGCGGACUUAAGAUCUUGGUUUUAAACCUGAGAUAAGGGUUAGAUAAGUCAUCCGUUCCUUAGUGGUUCGGGAGUUCGAAUCUCCCUCCCCGCA
RNAcentral lists this transfer RNA (120 nucleotides) under Candidatus Heimdallarchaeota archaeon AB_125. RNAcentral describes it as "tRNA-Leu". It matches the Rfam family "tRNA". From Rfam's summary of the family: Transfer RNA (tRNA) molecules are approximately 80 nucleotides in length. The record is from RNAcentral. Lineage: Archaea; Promethearchaeati; Candidatus Heimdallarchaeota.